UCUGGCGGUGGAUCACUCGGCUCGUGCGUCGAUGAAGCGCAGCCAGCUGCGUGAAUUAAUGUGAAUUGCAGGACACUGAACAUCGACAUCUUGAACACAUUGCGGCUGGGUCACUCGGAGCCACGCCUGUCU
Molecule: ribosomal RNA, 132 nt
Filed under: Mytilus coruscus
Lineage: Eukaryota; Metazoa; Mollusca; Bivalvia; Mytilida; Mytilidae
Description: 5.8S ribosomal RNA
Rfam family: 5.8S ribosomal RNA
About the family: 5.8S ribosomal RNA (5.8S rRNA) is a component of the large subunit of the eukaryotic ribosome. It is transcribed by RNA polymerase I as part of the 45S precursor that also contains 18S and 28S rRNA.
Source: RNAcentral